RNAcentral lists this ribosomal RNA (622 nucleotides) under Enterococcus faecium. RNAcentral describes it as "bacterial SSU rRNA". It matches the Rfam family "Bacterial small subunit ribosomal RNA", at positions 773 to 1391 of the family's 1533-position model. The record is from RNAcentral. Lineage: Bacteria; Bacillati; Bacillota; Bacilli; Lactobacillales; Enterococcaceae.
CAGGAUUAGAUACCCUGGUAGUCCACGCCGUAAAACGAUGAGUGCUAAGUGUUGGAGGGUUUCCGCCCUUCAGUGCUGCAGCUAACGCAUUAAGCACUCCGCCUGGGGGAGUACGACCGCAAGGUUGAAACUUCAAAGGAAUUGACGGGGGCCCGCACAAGCGGUGGAGCAUGUGGUUUAAUUUGAAGCAACGCGAAGAACCUUACCAGGUCUUGACAUCCUUUGACCACUCUAGAGAUAGAGCUUCCCCUUCGGGGGCAAAGUGACAGGUGGUGCAUGGUUGUCGUCAGCUUCGUGUCGUGAGAUGUUGGGUUAAGUCCCGCAACGAGCGCAACCCUUAUUGUUAGUUGCCAUCAUUUAGUUGGGCACUCUAGCAAGACUGCCGGUGACAAACCGGAGGAAGGUGGGGAUGACGUCAAAUCAUCAUGCCCCUUAUGACCUGGGCUACACACGUGCUACAAUGGGAAGUACAACGAGUCGCAAAGUCGCGAGGCUAAGCUAAUCUCUUAAAGCUUCUCUCAGUUCGGAUUGUAGGCUGCAACUCGCCUACAUGAAGCCGGAAUCGCUAGUAAUCGCGGAUCAGCACGCCGCGGUGAAUACGUUCCCGGGCCUUGUACACACC